Molecule: ribosomal RNA, 254 nt
Filed under: uncultured bacterium
Lineage: Bacteria
Description: partial 16S ribosomal RNA
Rfam family: Archaeal small subunit ribosomal RNA
Source: RNAcentral
UACCAGCACCCCGAGUGGUCGGGACGAUUAUUGGGCCUAAAGCAUCCGUAGCCGGUCCUACAAGUCUUCCGCUAAAUCCACCUGCUCAACAGAUGGGCUGCGGAAGAUACUAUAGGGCUAGGAGGCGGGAGAGGCAAGCGGUACUCAGUGGGUAGGGGUAAAAUCCGUUGAUCCAUUGAAGACCACCAGUGGCGAAGGCGGCUUGCCAGAAUGCGCUCGACGGUGAGGGAUGAAAGCUGGGGGGAGCAAACCGG